This 210-nucleotide long non-coding RNA is filed under the name Elaeis guineensis (African oil palm). Its description in RNAcentral is "long non-coding RNA (EGUI_LNC020999)". Lineage: Eukaryota; Viridiplantae; Streptophyta; Magnoliopsida; Arecales; Arecaceae. The record is from RNAcentral.
GGGGUUUCAGUUUCGUUUGGGUUUGGGCACCGAUGGUCGCCAUCGGAUUUGUGUUUCUUUGGGCGGUGGGUCGUUGCCCUCCUGCUAAUGGCCGCCCCCAUGCCGACUGCACCGUCGGUCGGCCAACCAACAAAGGGAUUUGAGAUCCCCUGUUUCAAAAGGCAAGCCGCGGGAAGAAAAAAAUAGAAAAAAAUAGAAAAAAAUAGAAAA